GCUCAAGCAAGUCGUUGCUUUUCCUCCACCAUCUUGGCUCCGGCCCUCUGCCUACUUUUCCAAACAGAUCUGACUUACUCCUGGUCUGCCCCACCACACACACACACUACUUGCCAACAGAACCAGUAUUCUGGCAGUGUACUCUGUAAAUAAGGUCCAUCUUCUCCCUCCAUGCUUUUGCCUAGGGGGCUAGGCUGUUUCCCAAGCUUAGAAUACUCAGCUACAUGCUGCCUCCUUACAGCCUACCAUGAUUGCCCCCAUUUCUGGUGCUCUCAUCCUCCAAUAAAAUUAAUCUGUGUUAGUUUUCUGUAUACCUGUGGAAUCCUCCUCACCAUCACCCCAAGAACGUAAGCUUAUCGAAGAAAAGAGGAUCCACUUUGUCUUUGUGUUCCUGGUUCCCAAUACUCAAUAAUAAUGUUUCAUCUUGCUAUCCAAUGUAUGGAGCAGAGUCACGGGCUGGAAAUCCCCCCAAAUCUGCAAUGGGGAGGAAGCCAGCCUCAGUGACAAGGACCCCUAACAAUCCCACCUGUUGCCAUCUGAGGACACAAUGCCUGGUCCUUCUGAGGAUCCCAGCUCAUAGAUGACCCAGCAGGGACCUUGGGGAAAGUUUCAUCCAAUCCAUCUGGAGAAGAAAACUUGAGUUGGCAUAGAGAAUGGAAGAGACUUGGCCAGGGUCACACAGGUAGGAAGCCGGGUUCCCUAACUCUGAUUCGGCUAGUUUUCCCCCACUAGUCCAGGAUAUCUCUCAUUCCUAUUUUAAAGAUGAGGAAAUGAUGCAGAGUUGAAGUGACCCACCCAGCUGAACACAGCUUCGAUCAGCGCCAGGACACUGGAGCACAGGUUCUGACCCCAGUAAUGAGACCUGCUAUUCCAUGUUUCCCACAUAUGGACGCCUGCACUUGGGAGUAGAGAGGCAGAAAGAAGAGAAGUUGGAGAGGGUCUCAGUUAACCCUCUUCUAGAAGUGGAGAAGUCAGAGCAACUGAUUUCUAAAGCCCUUGCCAGCUCCAAACUCAUGGCACCAGAUUUUUGGAUUACAGACUGUGGGACAGAAACGUGGCUGUUCUCCGAGGACACAUGGGACACUCCCACUUAUCUGUAAAUACAAUGAGACCUAAAGAAGGAGCGGGCGUUAACAGAUCGGAUCACACUACACAAAAAGUCCAAAGCAUUUCCUGCGAUGCUUGCCCUGAUCUCUUCACCUGGGGACACCAGGCUCUCCUCCUGGCCUGUUCUUCUACCACAUGGGCAGAAGUAGCCUCCUCCAACCAGCUGCAUCUUUAAAACUGGCCGCACUGGGACAGCCUCUCUUUGCUGCUGCAUCCAAUGGGGUAAGAGCCCGUGGUUCACCCACAGAGCCAGGGCCAUGAACUGAGUCCCAAACAGAUAUCCCUUCACCCACAUUUCUCUUCCUCUAGGCCCCACGGCCUGGGGUGUUUGUUGUCAAUGUGUUUGCCAAUAUGUUGGCAACAGUGCCAGGUGCCUAUGGGGAAGCUUGAGUCCUGGACCUUGGACUUCGGGUAGGCUACUGAAGCCAGCUGGCCUAGCCAGGAGAAGCAAGGGUGCCAUGGGGGGUUUUGGACUUAGAACUUGGAACUGAGCUUACCUGUGAACUUAAUUCCCUUCCUCUCCCCAGAGAAUAAAGUAGUACAGGAUGGGGGUGAGGGAUUAAGCCCUGCGAAUUGGGGGAAUGUUUGUAUAUUUGUGAUCGUACCUUCGAAGUAAAUAUUUCUUUGUACAAGUUAGUGAUUAAGCAAGUAGAACUGAGGUGAAGGGGACCCCACCCCCUACAAAUGAAGGAAUGCCAUUGGUGGAGGCUGGUGCUAUUGGCAGAGAGCCCUGACACCCAACCCACCUUACGGGCACCAGAGAAUCCUGGGGGAGGGAGAAAUGUAACCCAUCUGGACUUCUGGAACCAGGGGCCAAGCUGGUAAGUAUCACACCGGCUUUCUAUUCACUCAGAAUUGUCUUGCAAAGACAUUUAUUAAGGUAGGUAUUUCCAAAGAACAUAGGCCCCUUAAGAGCAAAGACUAGCUUGUCUUUUUGUGCCUAGCACAGUACCCAGCAUGCAGCAGGUGCCUAAUAAAAGCUCCUCUAUUUUGAAAGACUUGGGAACUUAACGGAGGACACAAAUACAACCGUGACUCCAGAGGGCUGAUUGUGCUACUCCCUUCCUGAGCAGGAGUUGAAGACCAGACAUAAAAUGAGACUUAGAACCUCGGACACAACCGACGAGGGAAUUUGUUUUGCUUGACUAAGCAAAUUUGUUGCCCGGAACACAGAGAGGGGAAACUGGGGAGGCCCUCAGCGGCACUGGCCGGCCUCGGGAAGCUAGGCGGGGAAGAAGUGGAGACACUCACUCUGAGGACGGCAGUGCUGUUCAUCCCCUCCCCUCUAACCACUUCAGCCCCUGACAUUGUAAUCUCCUCCCCCUAUGAGGGUCUGCCGCCAGGUUCUCCCCUCUGCAGCCAUCCUCCCUCCACACAGAACGACAGAGUCAUCUGAAGACACAAAACCUUCCGUUGGCCUCUCAGGGCUCCAGCUCUUCUGGUCAGAUUCAAAGCCUUCCCCAAUCUGGUUCCCACCUGCCUCACUUCUCAUUGGUUCACACAUAGGACUUUCCAGACACGGGGGGGAUUCCUGGCUGGUUCUAUACCUCCACGUGCUUUCUCCAGCCUUCACAAUUUAUACAAGCAAUCUUCCCAUUCCUGGGAAGAAAUCUUCCUUCAAUCGAUCAACAAGCAUUUAUUAAGUGCUUACUUUUUGCCAGGCACUGGGCAUAGGUACAAAGAAGGAAAUCACUCCUGCUCUGAAGCCUCCGUUCCAAUGGAGACAAAAAUACAUUGGGAAAUAUAUUCAGAAUAAAUAAAGAGAAUAAAUAAAAAUAAAUACAAAGUAGUUAAAUACGAGGCUGUUUGGGAGGGAGGGCUUCCUGUAGAAAGUUUUGGGUGAGAUGUGUUUUGAAGGAAAUCUUUUUGUGGGGAAGGGGUGUUGAGAAAGGGGUGCACUUCAGGCACAGGGGAUGGGAGGGAGAGAAAUGCAAAGGCAGAGAGGGGAGGGAGAAAAUUCUGUGGAGCAAAGGAGAAAAGGCCAGUAACCCUAGAUCACAGGGUGUGGGAGGGGGAAUAAUUACGUCCAGUGAGGCUGGAAAGACAGGCCAGGCUCCUCUUCCCCACCCCCACCCAACCCCGGCCAGGGAGAGGAGGGGUAAAUGGGAUGACAUUGAAGACAAAGAAAAAGGAGGCAGAAAGACAAAAGUUUCAGGAAAGAAAAAAAGUGAGAACAAGAGGGACCAGAAGAAUUUUUAAAAAGGUGAGAAGAGCCACAUGGCUCCAAAGAGCUUAUACCAAAGGAAAAGCGAACUUUAAGGGCAGGAAAGGGGAGACCUCGCAAUCCAUGGUCCCUGGAGCCCACAGAAGCUUGGGAGUCCCCAUCCUGUCUCCGGCCGGAUGGCCACUGAGCUAGAACACUCGUGGAGUUCUGGGGCACUUGGAGAAGAGGGGAUUCCCUGACACCACGAGCUCAAUCUCCCACAAGGUGCCCCACCUGCCUGCAGGGACAAUCACUUCAGUCACACCACCUUAAGUCAGUAACACCGAGAAAGGGGUCGCAACCACGCUGACACAGCAAUAAAGUGGCACCAAACACUCCCAAGAGCCUGCAACACAACUUCCUACAAGGCCAAGGAGUCCAGUGGGAAGGAGGCUCGGCACAGAGCCCCCCAAGUCCUUUGCCUAGCAUUCAAGAGGCAGGCAAGUUGAGCAAGGAGAAGGAGGUCAAGAAGUGAGACCUCAAGGUAACUGUCUUCAGUUUCCUCUGCAAAGAGGAGGUCCGGGAAGCCUGAGAAGAGGUCUGGAAUAAGGUUCUGUGGGGCGUCAGAGGGGACCCAUCAUGGAGGACGAAAGGGCUGCCGUGCUGCAGUGAGGGUCCCCUGGAGGCUGGCUAGGGGGAGUCUCGAGUGUCCGGAGUCAGCAGGAUUGCGUGGCUUAUUCAGCAGCUCAUGAGGUGGACGGUAGGAGUAACCCUGAGCCGAGACAGCGCAGGGAUGAGUGGUUCCUGGAUGGGGGAGCUAAGGAUAUUCAAGAGUAAAGGAUGCAGAGCCGAUCAGCAUGAUGCAUCAGCUGAUUUAGCUGAUGGCUACAUAGAAGGCUGAGAUGGCCAAGCCAGGAAAGUGAAGUCAGUCUGAUAAAGCCCUGAGGGGCUGUAUACCUCAGCGAAGGUGAGCAAGCUUAGGAGAAGUGGGACAAAAGAGAGAAAAUGACAGCGGGUCAGGCAGAGGAAUGUCAGAGGGUCCUAGUGAGAUCUAGGGUGUGACCAUCGCUGGGCAUGGAGGAAGUGGAGUGGAGGAGGCGGUCCUGGGCCCUGAGAAGAUGGAAAGACAGACAGAUCAGGGUUUUGGAGGGAGUGCCUCCAGGAAUGCUGAAGCCCUCCCGAAUGGGGGCAGGAAAACCACAAGCCAGUCUCGUGCUCCUUGAGAAAGCAGGGGGAAUGACAUGGAGGCUGGUAGUCAAGAGCCACCGUGACGUCCAGGCGGUGGAGAAAACCUUCCCCUCUUCCUGAGAAUUGCCUAAUCUGACAUCUUUGGAUGGAUUUCAUGGAGUCCAUCACCGUGGACGGGAAAAAAAAAUCAUCUUUACAUUCACCAAUCUGUCCCCGAAUCAGCAUUUUCUUCUCAGAAGCAUGCUUUGGUUGUUGUUCUAAGGGAGAAUUCUAGGAGGGCAGCACGGGGUUACGAGGAAGUGAUACUGGUGAAAAAAUUUAAAGAAUCAAUAAAAAAAUUAAAUUUUAAAACACGGCAGGGAAUGAAUUACUGGACCCAUCUGCAGCUGUGGCCUUGGAAAUGUUUUUAAAAUUCAGGGCCGUUCUUAACAGGAUGGAAAAUUCUUGUUGGUUACAACAUUUCUUUUUUGUUUCCAUCACAUUGGACUGUAGUUUAUUUUUUUUAAAGAAAU
This is a long non-coding RNA of Vombatus ursinus (common wombat), 4950 nucleotides long. RefSeq lists it as uncharacterized. The record is from RefSeq and is a predicted model, not a curated record. The transcript has 4 exons. NCBI's taxonomy places the organism in Eukaryota, Metazoa, Chordata, Mammalia, Diprotodontia, Vombatidae.